RNAcentral lists this ribosomal RNA (301 nucleotides) under uncultured bacterium. RNAcentral's name for it is "partial 16S ribosomal RNA". It matches the Rfam family "Bacterial small subunit ribosomal RNA", at positions 509 to 808 of the family's 1533-position model. The record is from RNAcentral.
CAGUCGCCGCGGUAAUACGUAGGGGGCAAGCGUUGUCCGGAAUUAUUGGGCGUAAAGCGCGCGCAGGCGGUUCUUUAAGUCUGGUGUCUAAGUGCGGGGCUCAACCCCGUGACGCACUGGAAACUGGGAGACUUGAGUGCAGAAGAGGAGAGCGGAAUUCCACGUGUAGCGGUGAAAUGCGUAGAGAUGUGGAGGAACACCAGUGUCGAAGGCGACUCUCUGGUCUGUAACUGACGCUGAGGAGCGAAAGCGUGGGGAGCGAACAGGAUUAGAUACCCCGGUAGUCCCUGUCUCUUAUACA